GGGGCUGUAACGGUUUCGACGUUUUGGCGAACACUACCCUGUGAUACAGGUCGAGAGCGGGCUACCUCUCGAAAAUCAAUGGCUCAAAACAAGUACAUGCGAACAACAUUGUACCUUUUGCUCGUAAGGCUGCCGUUGCUGUUGCCUAAACACCUCUCAUAGGUUCGAGCGUCUGCUGUUUGACUCCGUUAAGGAUGGCAGACAAACCCCAACGGAUGCUCUAGCAAAGUUCCUCUGGUUGGUUGCUAGCUAAGAUUUAACCAGAGCAUCCCAUCGUCCGGGAUAAAGGGCGAUUCCCGCUUCGAGGAUUAGAGAAGCUAAACCUGUGAAUGAGCGGUGUACUAAUACCCAGGGCGGACACGGGUUCGACUCCCGUCAGCUCCACUG
RNAcentral lists this transfer-messenger RNA (387 nucleotides) under Scytolyngbya sp. HA4215-MV1. It matches the Rfam family "transfer-messenger RNA". From Rfam's summary of the family: Bacterial tmRNA, also known as 10Sa RNA or SsrA, is named for its dual tRNA and mRNA-like properties. Its role is to liberate the mRNA from a stalled ribosome. RNAcentral also lists the same sequence under 2 other names. The record is from RNAcentral. Lineage: Bacteria; Bacillati; Cyanobacteriota; Cyanophyceae; Leptolyngbyales; Leptolyngbyaceae.